GGGAGAACGAUUGGGGAAAGCAACAGCAGCCCGUGAAGUAUUUGGCAAACAGCUCCUUUUGUGUUGCGCAAGCCAAAUCCCAAUGACACCCAUGCUCCUACAACCCCUUGAAUUGCACGUCGGCAGCACAGGACGCGAGGAUACGUCUCCAGCAAGGAUGGAAAUAUCUGAGCUGCAGCCCUGGGCAUGGCCAAGGUGGGGUCGAUGGUGCUGCCGUUCGCCAGGGCUGCCAGCUGGUUCCCCGUGUAAAUCUAUUUUCGUUUGCUUGCCACUUGGUGAAACUUUAACCUUUGGGGCCCGGACAUCGCCUCCCUGCUGGCUUCCAGCACCAGGACUGGCAGCAGCUGGUGCAACUGGAAGGAGUCCGGAGGCCCAGUGCCAUGCCCAGCAGAUCCACGAUGCUCUCCAGCCCCAGGGGCUGCCGAGAUUAGGGUUUUAGGGGGGAUCCUCAGGCAGUGUCAAACGAAAUGCAGCAGGCGUGGGAAGCACAAGGAGCUGCAAGGGCAUGUGCUAGUGGAAAACACCAGGCUCGGGGCUCGGUGUCCGCACCUGGGCUGGUAAAUCCCUGGGGGAUGUUGGGGAAGGGAGCAGGGGUCUCCAGCUUGUACCCGCACAGCCCUGGGGGGCUCUCUGCACCCCCACUGCGCCCCUAGCACCAAACCAGGCCUUGGCAGGUGCGGGGAAGGUGAUGCUGGUCCCUGACGCCAUGGUGUUGGAGCAUCCCUGAAUCGUGGCUGGGAGGACAUCGAGAUCUCCCCUUCCCAAAAACUGUGCCCUGGAGCAGCGGGAUGAGGCGAGGGAAGCCCCUUGCCGUGCUCCCACAUUUAUUGGCACCCCCAGGGGAGGGGAGAGCACGGCGAGGGCAGGGCAAGCAACACAGAG
This is a long non-coding RNA of Oxyura jamaicensis (ruddy duck), 882 nucleotides long. RefSeq lists it as uncharacterized. NCBI's taxonomy places the organism in Eukaryota, Metazoa, Chordata, Aves, Anseriformes, Anatidae. The transcript is spliced from 3 exons. The record is from RefSeq and is a predicted model, not a curated record.